This 536-nucleotide unclassified non-coding RNA is filed under the name Hevea brasiliensis (rubber tree). The record is from RNAcentral. Lineage: Eukaryota; Viridiplantae; Streptophyta; Magnoliopsida; Malpighiales; Euphorbiaceae.
GAUCACUGUUGAAUUCUUAAAAGGAUAUUACUUUGUGAGCUGGUGACCGAGUGAAAAGUGACUGUGCUCUUUACGGGCCGUUUCUAAUUGUAAAAGUGGCUUCUUUCUGGGUUUGACAAAAGAGACCAGUAUUGAUCCUCAGGAAGAUGCUUGAAGUGUUAAGCUAGUACUGCAACAUGGACAUCAUUGAUAAUCAACUGCAAUCGAGAAGCCCUCACAAUCUUUCUGCCGUUGGCAUGGAUUGGGAGGCUUCAUUGAAUUGAUUCAUUAUGCAUAUUACACUUGUUGUCUCGUUGACAUCAAUAACGGAAUGCUAUUUUCCUAUGAAGUUAUGCAUUUGCCAGGCCUUGCUCUUAUUUAACUUUUUCACGGAACUGUAUUGUUAGUUUGGGGCUUGGAAUUGCUAUAGAAUUAUCUUGCAUUACUGGUGGAAAGAAAAAGGUAAUAGCCUAGGUCCAAAUCAUGGACACUCUGCCAUUUGGCUUAAACAAAGCAACUGUAAGGUUGGAAACCAACAAAAGUAAAGGGAAUAGCGC